AACUUUUGGCAACGGAUCUCUUGGCUCUCGCAUGGAUGAAGAACGCAGCGAAAUGCGAUAAGUAAUGUGAAUUGCAGAUUUUCAGUGAAUCAUCGAAUCUUUGAACGCACCUUGCGCUCCUUGGUAUUCCGAGGAGCAUGCCUGUUUGAGUGUCAUCAAAUUCUCAACGCCUAGGGUUUCACGACCUUUUGGAGUGUGGACUUGGAGGUGCCGGCAUCCUAUAUCGUCAGCUCCCCCCUAACGCAUCAGCGGCAUUCAACCCUUCUCUUCCGGACGUCAGGGUGAUAAUCAUGUUGCGCUGUCGUUCGAUACUCAGAGCCCGCUUACAAUGCUCUUUCGACAAAUCAUCUCCAAAUUUGACCUCAAAUCAGGUAGGACUACCCGCUGAACUUAAGCAUAUCAAUACGCGGAGGCU
This 415-nucleotide unclassified non-coding RNA is filed under the name uncultured Atheliaceae. RNAcentral describes it as "sequence contains ITS2". The stretch from base 1 to 155 matches the Rfam family "5.8S ribosomal RNA". Lineage: Eukaryota; Fungi; Basidiomycota; Agaricomycetes; Atheliales; Atheliaceae. The record is from RNAcentral.